AUUAGGGCCAUUAUGGUUAGGCAAGGAAAGAGUCUUCUCUUUCUUUGAAGGAGCUUUGCUCUGUGGGCAUUAGGAUAUUCAUCCUAUUGCAUUUAUCUUUCAUUUUAAUAUAAUAAUAAUACACUAUUUUCAUUAUUCCUGUUUUUAAUCCUUUUCUUCAAUAUUUUAUAAGUUGCGAAAUUUCCGGUUCGCAACAAUGGUCCGACCUGCCGGAUUUACGAUGGUUGAGCCAGUGAAGACAACGGAAGCUAGGGUCGAAGCUCUCCAAGGAGAAAUUUCUGAGGUCCGAGCAACACUUGUUGAUGUUCAGAAAGCAAUGAAGGAGAGCCACACGAGUUUAAUCGCGAUGAUGGAAAAGUGUUUUGGUAAGUCUGUGGUGGAGGAAGAAGGUGCCAGUGUGGUCGCUAACACGACGGCGGUGCU
Molecule: long non-coding RNA, 423 nt
Filed under: Trifolium pratense (red clover)
Lineage: Eukaryota; Viridiplantae; Streptophyta; Magnoliopsida; Fabales; Fabaceae
Description: long non-coding RNA (TPRA_LNC008977)
Source: RNAcentral